Brassica napus (rape) is the source of this 1974-nucleotide long non-coding RNA. RefSeq lists it as uncharacterized. The transcript has 4 exons. The record is from RefSeq and is a predicted model, not a curated record. Lineage: Eukaryota; Viridiplantae; Streptophyta; Magnoliopsida; Brassicales; Brassicaceae.
CGGUGAUGUGUAAUUGUAGGGACCAAAAUAAAAAUAAAAAUAUUAAACUUCAGAUUUGAAUUUUUUAGUAGUGAAACUUCAUAUUCGAAAUUAUGGAGUGUCUUCUGGGCUUACUCUUAGUUUUAUAAAGAAAAAUGAUUUUUGUCACCGAAUUUUAUUAAUUUUCUAGGCUACUAGCAUUUGAAAGGCACCUUAGCCAAUCACCUGGAUAAUGACAAAUCUAAUAAAAAAGCUAUUACGUUGUUUCUGAGUCUCUGACAAUCACAAUACUAAAAGCAGCAUUUCCUCAAAAUCUAUGCUGCCACGUCAUCAAAAAUAAUUGGCCAAUCACAACAUUUUAUUUUUGUUUUGGGUCUCAAUUGUCUGGGCUUGGGUGUGUGGAUUUAUUAAACCAUAUUCUGUGUUUUCAUUUCAGGCCUAUCUCUAAAUAUAAUGCAUUGAGACCCGAAAUCGCAUGUCGUCAUCUAAGUCGUAUCUUCAUCUUACGGCCGCCGCUUUUUCCGAGAUGAAAGUCGAUGAUAACGCCAUGGACGUUACAACGUUUCAUCUUGCUCUUCUUUACUUCCUGUUAAUUCGUGAUUUCUCCACUCCUCAGCAUUCAAUCCGACUCCUUCUCUUCCCGUACCUACUCACUAGAGCUUCGGGUAUAAAUACUUCCUCAUCCAGACAUGAGCAUCACAGCUUCGACGAGAACCAGAAGAUCUCUCUGUUCAAUUUCUGGUUAUUACAAUGGCGAAUUCCCAAGUCUUUCUUGCUGAUUUGAAAGCAGGACGCUGCUCCAACGUUGCGGAGGUCCAGAGGGAAGCAAGAAAUGUGAGGAAAGGAGGUGAAUUGACGAGUGUUGACAUGCUCUUUGUCGAUGAGAAUUUCAAGGAAAGGUUUGCUUGUGUCCUACCCGCAUUCAGCUUUUACCAACGUAAUGCGGUGAACAAGCAUUGAAGACGUUCACCCAAACGGUGGAAUCAAGAAAUUCAAAUCUUCUGUCUACUCCAACUUUAUAUUUUCCUUUCGUCUAAAUCAAAACUGGUUCCCCAAUCCAAUCGUUCUCAAGUCAUGUCGCUCAUACAACAAGGUGAGAUGGCUUUGUCUGCAAAUCGGUUUCAAAGGUUACGAGAAGUAGCUCGAGGUCAUCUUUCAAGACUCCAAGGGAUUUGGUCUCUGUGCUCUGAUCAAGUCGCAGUUGGACAAAAAACUCACUCUUGCUGCAUGUGUGAUCGUGCUCUGAGUCCAGUUUCUUUGUCUACCCCCACAAAGUCAUCAUCAAGACUUCUUCAUCUUCACAUCUGAGUGAGAGCGGGAGCAAGGCUGCAGACCCAGACCCAGUUGGGACAUCACCAGAGCCUACAACUAAGAAGCCAAUGAGGUGUACCAAUCUUGAGUAGACGUUAUAGUGGCUCUCAAUUAUCUAUCAUAUUUUCAUAGUUUAUGCUUUCAGUUUAAUAAUUGUAAGGCUUAUUAGGUCUCUGUCUAUGCAAAUAUUUGGGCUUUGAUAUUUUAAAAUUAAACACUUAUACACCUAAGUGAGUCAAUAACAUAAUAUUUCCCAGCUUCUUAUUUCUCUUCCAAACACACUCCAUCGAAGAUAAAUUGACUCUACAGGAAAUAGCUUUCCCCGACAUACAACGUUUUUUAAAACUUCGGGGAUAUAAACAUAAGAACGUAGCUGGGUGGAUGUCUUCCACCUGAGUGUGAACCCAAAGUUGACCUUUAGUUCGUCAAAAGCUUUUAACACAAGAAAAAUUCCAGAAAAUGUUGUGUUUUUCAGUUUUGCCAAUUUUGUUGAUCAGACGGCAAUAUAAGCACUGCGAUUAAACUAUGUUUGGCACACUUUGACUCUAAAGAACGAUUGUCCAAUUACCACCAUCCACAGAUAUAAUAAACUGAAAAACUAUUAAUAAAUAACAAAACAAUUUAAUCCAUCGUAACAGUAAACUAAAUGGAAUAAUCUGGAAAAAGAAGUCCAAGUCUUAGUUU